Long non-coding RNA from Brachypodium distachyon (stiff brome), 736 nucleotides. RefSeq lists it as uncharacterized. The record is from RefSeq and is a predicted model, not a curated record. NCBI's taxonomy places the organism in Eukaryota, Viridiplantae, Streptophyta, Magnoliopsida, Poales, Poaceae. The transcript has 2 exons.
AUUCAUUCAUGUGAACUCUUCGCAUUUUCAUCCAGGACGGUUGCUUAUUAGUCCAAAGAACGCUUGUGGUGAUUCAUGUGAAUAAGUUACUAAGCCUUAAUCCUGCCAGGAGAGGAUUGGCAUGCAAAAUUGCAAAUUGGAGCAGAGGAGCAAAGGAUCAAUGUAGCAGUGCGGUAUGUGUUGUCCUUGCUGGUGGAGCUGCUAGCAGAGGUGGCGUCCUGUGGGCUGGGAGGCGGGAGUAUUUGCUGCCUGGUGGGCUGGUGGCAGAGCUCGACUGUGUGGUUAUUGUUCUUGUGGGCUGGGAGGUGGGUUGUAGUCCCAGGAGGUGUCACGCAGUUGCUGGUAGACGAGAUCUACGGCCAUCGGCACAGGGCAUACUGGGCAGGAGCAUGCGCUAAAGCCCCAAAUCCUAGUCGAUUUGGCUCAGUGACUGGGAGGGGUUCAUGGGGCCAAUUUUUUGGGUAGGUUUAUAUACCCUCUGAUAUACAGUUAAAUACAGUUAAUCGCCGGCUACCAAUUGGUUGUCUUGUUAGAGCGAUUAAUUGGUCUGCCCAAAUUGGUGGUCAACCAAAUCAUAUUAUUUUUUGUAUGUUGAUUAGCAGCUCAAUGCCGCUUACUAGUGGUUGUUAUAUGCAUAACCUUUUGAAUCUUGAUACAUUUGUGGUCCUUGUGGAUGCUUUGUUCGACUGCUUAAAUUAAUCAAUGAGUAGCAGCUCAAUGCAGCUUACUAUUGUUA